GAUCGUGUGUGGAAAUCUUUAUUAGAAUAUUGGAAUGCACCUACAUAUCGUACAAAGUGUACACAAGCACAAAAAAAUAAAGCAUUUGAAAAGAGUGGAAGUAUGAACACAUGUGGCUCCAUCAACAUGAAUGAACAUGCCAUUCACAUGGAAAAUGAGCUUGGUCGACCUGUACACCAUGAUGAACUUUUUCAGCAAACUCAUAUACGAAAAGACACUGGUCAGUUUGUUGAUGAUAGAUCUAGGCGGACACAUGAAGAUUUUGAAGCUAUAUUUUCUUAAGCUAUAUCUGAGGUUGGA
This is a long non-coding RNA of Cajanus cajan (pigeon pea), 300 nucleotides long. RefSeq lists it as uncharacterized. NCBI's taxonomy places the organism in Eukaryota, Viridiplantae, Streptophyta, Magnoliopsida, Fabales, Fabaceae. The record is from RefSeq and is a predicted model, not a curated record.